RNAcentral lists this long non-coding RNA (430 nucleotides) under Physcomitrium patens. RNAcentral describes it as "long non-coding RNA (PPAT_LNC009847)". The record is from RNAcentral. Lineage: Eukaryota; Viridiplantae; Streptophyta; Bryopsida; Funariales; Funariaceae.
UUAGAAUUUAGGGUUUGGAUUAGGAUUUUAUUUAGGAUUUAGGGUUUGAUUUAGGAUUUAGUUGGAGUUUAUUUAGGGUUUAAAGUUUGGUUUAGGAUUUGGAUUAGAAUUUAAUUAGGAUUUGAUUUAGAGUUUAGGCUUUGGUUAGGGUUUGAUUUAGGAUUUAGGGUUUGGAUUAGGAUUUGGUUAGGAUUUGAUUUAAGAUUUAGGGUUUGGUUUAGGAUUUGGUUAGGAUUUGGUUUAGGAUUUAGUUGGGAUUUAGUUUAAGGUUUGUUUAGGGUUUAAUUUAGAUUUUAGGAUUUUAUUAGGAUUUAAGAUUCAAUUAGUUUUUGCCUAAAGUUUGAAUGAAGUUCAAUAGGAUUUUAACUAGAAUUAAAUUAAGAUUGAAUUGAAAUGUAUUUGAGUGAUAUUUGUGAUCCUUCUAAUAUUU